CAAGGAUGUCACCCCUAACGAGCCACCUACUGACAAUGUGAUGAGGAGAAAAGCCCAUGACCUACCUGAGCCUGAAUUGCUCAACUGCCACCCAGCGGUAAUAACACCACCUACCUCACAGGAUAUUUUGUUGUCAAACUAAAUGAGACGGUGGAUUACAGCAUGGUUUGUGAAUGCUAAGCACUGCGUGAUAGCAGUUACUGUCACUCCCAAGUACGAUCUUAAGCUCAUAAAACGAGUAGAUAAGAAGAAGAGAAAGGUGAACAACUCUCAAACAGACACUUUCUCAAUCAGGAAUGAUAAGGCUGAAACCUGGAAAACAUCUUACCCAUCUGAAAAUCUUCCAUUAGCACAUGUCUACAACAGAAAGGGAAAAAGGAAAACGUCUUUUAAAUGUGAUAAAUAGGAUUUGGUUUAUAUUCCACUAAUUGAAAUGGCCAAAUUCAACAGCAAAUGGAAACAAAAACUUUGUUUUUAAAACUGUAUGGUUUAUACGUCAAAAUAAUUUGUAUCAGACUAAACCUUCAAUGGAAAGCAAGUAUAAAAGAUGGCUAAAACACCUGAAACUGGUAUUUGGAGUCACAAGAGAUCAAAUAAGCUAUCCAAAACUUGAGGGACUAAAUUCCAGAGAGAGAACUAAACACACGUGUGCAUGGGAGGUAGUGUGGCCAUCAGCCUCCACUUUUUACCCUCAUACCAUUUUCUGACUCACUGCACAAGAAAAGAGCCAAGCUGAACACAGUGGCCUGGAAUGGGCAAUAGCCUCACCGAAGAUGAUUGAUUGAUUGAUUGAUCCAUAACUGAAUUUAAGAACUCCACUGAUGAGCUGAAUAGCAUAUUAAAAUGAGCAAAAAAGAUCAUUAAUAAACGGGAAGAUAGAUACGUACAAGUGUCCAGACUGAAUCAUGAACAGAAAAAUGGAAGAAAAACACAGAAAACAUGCAUAAGAUACUAAAGCAUGAUUAAAUGUUCUAACAUAUAUAGAGUGAGAAUCUCAGAAUGAGAGGGGAGAGCAUGGAAUGCAAGCGAUACUGAAGGCACAAAUUACCCACAUGGGAAAUGAAAGAGAUACUUACAGAUACUGCAGAUACUUAAGACCACAAGAGACUACAAACAAUAUCAUGUCCAUGGGUUGGAUGCCAUGUGUCCCCCAACUGAUCUAAAGAUUCAAUGCAAUCGUAAACAACAUUACAGAAAUUCUCUGCAAAUUUACUAAGGUGUUUUAAAAGGUACAUGGAAGAGCAAAAUCCAAGAGUAGCAGACAGUUUUAGAGAGCGAUGUUGGAGGACUUACACUAGGAGAUGUCAAGACUAACUAUAAAUUAUAACAAUUAACAUAGUGCCUUAUGGGCACAAGGAGAGACAACAAGUCAACAGAACUGAGACCAGAAACUAAUGCACAUGUGUUGGUCACAGAAUUUCCAGUGCAUUGUAAACAGUUUAAGCAAUCCUGUGAAUAAAUGAUGUUGGAUCAUUGGGUAUCUACGUGGAAAAAAGAUCCCUACCUUAUACCAUAAACGCAAAUAAUAAUCAGUUCCAGUUGGAUCACUGAUGUGACGAUGAAAGACAAUAAAGCUUCUAGACAUUAACACAAGAGAGUAUAUUUAUGAUCUUAGUGUAAAUAAAGAUUUCUUCACACAGAGCACAGAAAGAGCUAACCAUAAAGAAAAUUUUUGAUAAAUUUGAUAUUACACUUAAGAACAUCUAUACUUGAAAAGAUACCAUUCUAAGAGUGAGAGAGGCAAGUCACCAAAUGUGAAAAGAUAUCUGCAACACAUAUUUCCAACAAAUAGCUUAUUUUCAAAAUAUACAAAGAAAUAUUACAAAUCCAUAAGAAAAAAUGACAACCCAGUUUUCAAAAACUGGAUUAAAAAUUCCUGAAUGAGUAUUUUUUUAAUCCAAAUUGCCUAAUAAGCAUAUGAAAAGACGUUUAGCAUUAUUCAUCAUAAGGAAAAUGAGAUACCACUACAUAAUCACAUUUUUAAUGACAAUACCUAGUUUUAGUAAGAAUUUAAGUCAUCUGGAACACUAUCAGUAGGAGUAUGAGCCAGUAAAACCAUUACAGAAACCAUUUUGUCAACAUUCAUCAAAGCUGAGCAUAUGCAUCCCUUUUAUCCAACAGUUCCAGGACACACCAAGCAUUAAAAAUAUGCACAAAAGACAUGUAUAAGAAUGUUCACAGCAGCCUGAGGCAUAAUUUCCCAAAGCCCCAAACCACCCAAACAUCCAUCUACAAUAGAACGGGUAAAUUGUGGUAUAGUCUUUCAAUAAUACAUCAGGGGUCGGCAAACUACAGCCUGUGGGUCAUAUCCAGCUCUGCCCAUUAACAGGAUCGUCUACAGCUGCAUUUACACUGCAAAGGCAGAGUUCAGGAGUUGCAACAUAGACCAUAUGGCCUACAUGGCUAAGUGUUUACUGUCGGCCUCUGCUGUACAGCAAUGAAAAAGAAUGCACUAUUACUGCUGUUACACAACAGGACGAACCUCAGAGACAUCAUCUGGUGGGAAAAAGCCAUGCAUGAAAGAAGAAAGAAGGCAUGUUAUGAUUCCAUGUAUACAGAGAGUUCAAACACAAACAAAAUGAAUCGAAGUCAGAAGUGAUGACAGAUGCCAGAACGAUGGGUCCAUUUGGGGAAACACAAUAACUUGAAAGAGCAAUGGUGCAGCUUGAGCCCCUCCUCUAAACUUGACUGUCUCACUGAAAAGCCAGAAUGAAGCAAGCAGGUGUGGGUACUGGAGAGAAGAAGUACCCACACCCGAGUCCAUCCUCCCUCCCACAUCACAGAGGCCAAGGGCAAAUCCCUCAGAGCAUCAGACCACACUCUGGCCCCCCAAUUGGGAAGACAAAAGGAGACAAAAUCAAUCGCUCCAUAGCUGCUGGGCAGUUCAGACAGAAAACCCGUCAUGUAUUUCCUCUGAUCCCUAUAGGUUUUAACGUCCUCAUAUUUGAACAGUAGGGGGUAGAAAUGACUUACAAAAGUCUAAACUAAAUAGAGUGUUUUAAUGUCAACUAAAAGAAUACGUCCACCCGAAAUCCACCUCUUGAUUCAGAAUGAGUGAAUGGAAUUGCUUGAAGCUCCUAAGAGUAUUGAUUUGGGACCAAUAAUUAAAAUCUAAUGGAGUUAAUCAGUUUCACAUAGAACUAUAAAUUUUAUCCAAAGACAUGAUAAAUCGCUGAAUAAGAAUAUCCAACUGCCCAUCUACUCAAUUUUUAAAAAUUCAGAUUUCAUUUUCUGACUGUUAUUCAUUUUAACUGAGAAAUACUCAUACCAGCUGAAGUGCUGGACAUUUUCUUCUGAGAAGGGAGGGAAAAGACAAUCAUUUGGUUCUUUAUGGGGGUCAAAUUAUACAUCAAAUAAAAUAUGAAGUUCCUUCGCCAGAUACAUUUCAUAAAGUUAAAUGGUUCUUUCAGGAUUAUGCUGACAAUAGAGUCUUCAGUCUUUGUUAUAAUAUAGUCGACGACCUCACUAAUAAGGAUAAUAAUGUAUCAUCAAAAAAUGCUGUUAAUUGAAAACUGUAAGUCUAAUUAACCAGGGAUGUGACCAUGCAUAACGUAUUAUUAAUAGAAUGAAAAGAUUGCAUUACACCCACUGCU
Molecule: long non-coding RNA, 3593 nt
Filed under: Sus scrofa (pig)
Lineage: Eukaryota; Metazoa; Chordata; Mammalia; Artiodactyla; Suidae
Description: lncRNA (ENSSSCG00000062372.1)
Source: RNAcentral